This 337-nucleotide ribosomal RNA is filed under the name uncultured cyanobacterium. RNAcentral describes it as "bacterial SSU rRNA". It matches the Rfam family "Bacterial small subunit ribosomal RNA", at positions 356 to 707 of the family's 1533-position model. Lineage: Bacteria; Bacillati; Cyanobacteriota. The record is from RNAcentral.
GGAAAUUUUUCCGCAAUGGGCGAAAGCCUGACGGAGCAAGACCGCGUGGGGGAGGAAGGUUCUUGGAUUGUCAACCCCUUUUCUCAGGGAAGAACACAAUGACGGUACCUGAGGAAAAAGCAUCGGCUAACUCCGUGCCAGCAGCCGCGGUAAUACGGGGGAUGCAAGCGUUAUCCGGAAUGAUUGGGCGUAAAGAGUCCGUAGGUAGUCAUCCAAGUCUGCUGUUAAAGAGCGAGGCUUAACCUCGUAAAGGCAGUGGAAACUGGAAGACUAGAGUGUAGUAGGGGCAGAGGGAAUUCCUGGUGUAGCGGUGAAAUGCGUAGAGAUCAGGAAGAAC